This 460-nucleotide ribosomal RNA is filed under the name uncultured bacterium. RNAcentral describes it as "partial 16S ribosomal RNA". It matches the Rfam family "Bacterial small subunit ribosomal RNA", at positions 338 to 795 of the family's 1533-position model. The record is from RNAcentral.
CCUACGGGAGGCAGCAGUGAGGAAUAUUGGUCAAUGGGCGCGAGCCUGAACCAGCCAAGUCGCGUGAGGGAGGACGGCACUACGGGUUGUAAACCUCUUUUGCCGGGGAGCAACGGGCGCCACGUGUGGCGUCACUGAGAGUACACGGAGAAAAAGCAUCGGCUAACUCCGUGCCAGCAGCCGCGGUACUACGGAGGAUGCGAGCGUUAUCCGGAUUUAUUGGGUUAAAGGGGUGCGUAGGCGGAUCGUAAAGUCAGUGGUCAAAUUGAGGGGCUCAACCCGUUCCCGCCAUUGAAACUGGCGUUCUUGAGUGGAAGAGAAGUAUGCGGAAUGCGUGGUGUAGCGGUGAAAUGCAUAGAUAUCACGCAGAACCCCGAUUGCGAAGGCAGCAUGCCGGCUUCCGACUGACGCUGAAGCACGAAAGCGUGGGGAUCGAACAGGAUUAGAUACCCGUGUAGUC